UGGGGAAUAUUGCACAAUGGGCGCAAGCCUGAUGCAGCAACGCCGCGUGAGGGACGACGGCCUUCGGGUUGUAAACCUCUUUUAGCAGGGAAGAAGCGAAAGUGACGGUACCUGCAGAAAAAGCGCCGGCUAACUACGUGCCAGCAGCCGCGGUAAUACGUAGGGCGCAAGCGUUAUCCGGAAUUAUUGGGCGUAAAGAGCUCGUAGGCGGUUUGUCGCGUCUGCUGUGAAAUCCGGAGGCUCAACCUCCGGCCUGCAGUGGGUACGGGCAGACUAGAGUGCGGUAGGGGGGAUUGGAAUUCCUGGUGUAGCGGUGGAAUGCGCAGAUAUCAGGAGGAACACCGAUGGCGAAGGCAGAUCUCUGGGCCGUAACUGACGCUGAGGAGCGAAAGGGUGGGGAGCAAACAGG
RNAcentral lists this ribosomal RNA (409 nucleotides) under Bacillota bacterium. RNAcentral's name for it is "Firmicutes bacterium partial 16S ribosomal RNA". It matches the Rfam family "Bacterial small subunit ribosomal RNA", at positions 355 to 776 of the family's 1533-position model. The record is from RNAcentral. Lineage: Bacteria; Bacillati; Bacillota.